GACGAACGCUGGCGGCGUGCCUAAUACAUGCAAGUCGAACGCAGUGGGGACGGGUGAGUAACACGUGGCUAACCUCCCAUCAGAGUGCAUAACCCUUGGAAACAGGUGCUAAACCGAUACUGAUGGAUGAACUCGCGGUGCAUUAGCUAGUCGGUGAGGUAAAGGCUCACCAAGGCUACGAUGCAUAGCCGACCUGAGAGGGUGAUCGGCCACACUGGGACUGAGACACGGCCCAGACUCCUACGGGAGGCAGCAGUAGGGAAUCUUCGGCAAUGGGCGAAAGCCUGACGCAGCAACGCCGCGUGAGUGAAGAAGGUCUUCGGAUCGUAAAACUCUGUUGUUAGAGAAGCGGUAUCUAACCAGAAAGCAACGGCUAACUACGUGCCAGCAGCCGCGGUAAUAC
Molecule: ribosomal RNA, 403 nt
Filed under: uncultured bacterium
Lineage: Bacteria
Description: partial 16S ribosomal RNA
Rfam family: Bacterial small subunit ribosomal RNA
Source: RNAcentral